Molecule: small nucleolar RNA, 78 nt
Organism: Tripterygium wilfordii
Lineage: Eukaryota; Viridiplantae; Streptophyta; Magnoliopsida; Celastrales; Celastraceae
Product: small nucleolar RNA R160
Exons: 1
Source: RefSeq, a predicted model, not a curated record
AGCAAGGUGAUGGAUUUCUUUAAUCUGAAUAUGGAUGUUGAACUCCACGUCAUUGGACUUCAAAGUUCUUUAAUUUCU